AUCUCCAUUAUUCAGCUUGAGCAGUAAGGUCUACUACUGGUAUAUUUCUUGAAGAUAGAAACUGAAUCGGCUCUCAAUUUAUUUUGGCAGUGGGAAUUUUUGGAGGAGAAAACGAGGAGGGAUAAGGAGAUUUGAAGAAGUUGAACAGAGGUCGGUGUGGAUCUUGCUGUGCGAAAAUCCUCAAGGGCUGAAGACUGGUGCUUGUAACUCUGCAGCAGGAUCUGCAAACACGGAGUUUGGAAAUACCAAGGU
Molecule: long non-coding RNA, 252 nt
Organism: Papaver somniferum (opium poppy)
Lineage: Eukaryota; Viridiplantae; Streptophyta; Magnoliopsida; Ranunculales; Papaveraceae
Exons: 4
Source: RefSeq, a predicted model, not a curated record